Long non-coding RNA from Lontra canadensis (Northern American river otter), 1236 nucleotides. RefSeq lists it as uncharacterized. NCBI's taxonomy places the organism in Eukaryota, Metazoa, Chordata, Mammalia, Carnivora, Mustelidae. The transcript is spliced from 3 exons. The record is from RefSeq and is a predicted model, not a curated record.
UGCAGAAGGAACCAGAAUGUUCCCCAAAGCUGCCUCAGCACAUUUUCUUGGUGACAUUAAAGAAAUGCUGCUGACAUUCCUUCCUAGACCUUGAAAAGGGGCAUCCCCACUCUAUAUAUUGUUGAGAUCUCCAGUGUCUUUGUAAUUCCCCACUAUGACUUAUGUUUAGACUUAUCCUUGUCUGGGGGAAAUUUGUUUGCCUGCCUGUGGCAGAAGCAAUUUCAUUUGCAUUGUGAAAUGUCCCUCACUUAAGUAUGGUGUCUCUUAGUAUUCAUGUGCUCCUUUUCUUUAUUUCCUUUUCCCAUCCAUCUAAUCUAUCCGUGGGCUUGUUCUCCUUCAGACCGAUCCCAUUCAUUGAUGGACUUUUAUAACUGACUUGUGUGGAGGAAGCAGGCUCAGAAGGAAUGAAAUGAAACCUGCUUUAUCAACAGCAUUCUCUGGAGAUUUUCAGAACAUUAUCUUCCUCUCUGAUUUAGCUGGUCGAACAAGAUGACGACUGAAUGAAGCACGGAUUUGGCAACAUGGAAGGCACUGGUGGGAUGGGAAAAUGCCGGGAAAGUGCCAUGAGUUGACAUAUCAGAAGUCAGUCUAUGUACACCAAAACUGCCAUGCUGGAGAAACCACGUAAGAGACCACAUAGAGCCAGAGAUGCCAAAAGACACCAGCUGUACCAGGCUCCAGCUCUCUAACUCUUCCCAACAAGGAUGAGGAAACAUGUGAGUGACCCAGGCUUCAGAAGAUUCCAGGCCCCAGUCUUCAAGCUGCCCUAGCCAAUGCCAAGGAGAGGAGACAAGCUGCCCUCUACUAAGUCCUUCCCAAAUUGCAAAUUCAGGAGGAAAAUAAAUAUUAUUUUAAGCCACUAAAUUUGGGGAUGGUUUAUUUAUGCAGCAACAGACACUGGAACACCUUAUUUUUUAUACUAUUGUUAUUUGGAUGUUCUGUUACCUGCAACCAAAUGAAUCCCGACCUAAAACACUUAGCAGUAGUAAGAUUAAAAGAAAUUGCUAAAAUGACCCUUUAAGUUACUGUAGAUGCUGAUGAUCCAUUCUAUUCCUCUCUUAGCCUGGCUAUGGUAAUCAAUUUAGCUAUAGUAGUAUGUACUGUAGUAGAGUAGAGUACAGUAGAGCAGAGCAAAGUAAUAGUGUAGUAGAGUAUGAUUUUCCACAAGUUGACUUAAUUUAGUUACAUAAAGGUUUUAUUUUUCAAUAGGACUGGGCUAGAAUUUCAAUUCAAGAC